This 1594-nucleotide ribosomal RNA is filed under the name Staphylococcus aureus. RNAcentral describes it as "partial 23S ribosomal RNA". It matches the Rfam family "Bacterial large subunit ribosomal RNA", at positions 1333 to 2925 of the family's 2925-position model. The record is from RNAcentral. Lineage: Bacteria; Bacillati; Bacillota; Bacilli; Caryophanales; Staphylococcaceae.
UCCACCGAUUGACUAAGGUUUCCAGAGGAAGGCUCGUCCGCUCUGGGUUAGUCGGGUCCUAAGCUGAGGCCGACAGGCGUAGGCGAUGGAUAACAGGUUGAUAUUCCUGUACCACCUAUAAUCGUUUUAAUCGAUGGGGGGACGCAGUAGGAUAGGCGAAGCGUGCGAUUGGAUUGCACGUCUAAGCAGUAAGGCUGAGUAUUAGGCAAAUCCGGUACUCGUUAAGGCUGAGCUGUGAUGGGGAGAAGACAUUGUGUCUUCGAGUCGUUGAUUUCACACUGCCGAGAAAAGCCUCUAGAUAGAAAAUAGGUGCCCGUACCGCAAACCGACACAGGUAGUCAAGAUGAGAAUUCUAAGGUGAGCGAGCGAACUCUCGUUAAGGAACUCGGCAAAAUGACCCCGUAACUUCGGGAGAAGGGGUGCUCUUUAGGGUUAACGCCCAGAAGAGCCGCAGUGAAUAGGCCCAAGCGACUGUUUAUCAAAAACACAGGUCUCUGCUAAACCGUAAGGUGAUGUAUAGGGGCUGACGCCUGCCCGGUGCUGGAAGGUUAAGAGGAGUGGUUAGCUUCUGCGAAGCUACGAAUCGAAGCCCCAGUAAACGGCGGCCGUAACUAUAACGGUCCUAAGGUAGCGAAAUUCCUUGUCGGGUAAGUUCCGACCCGCACGAAAGGCGUAACGAUUUGGGCACUGUCUCAACGAGAGACUCGGUGAAAUCAUAGUACCUGUGAAGAUGCAGGUUACCCGCGACAGGACGGAAAGACCCCGUGGAGCUUUACUGUAGCCUGAUAUUGAAAUUCGGCACAGCUUGUACAGGAUAGGUAGGAGCCUUUGAAACGUGAGCGCUAGCUUACGUGGAGGCGCUGGUGGGAUACUACCCUAGCUGUGUUGGCUUUCUAACCCGCACCACUUAUCGUGGUGGGAGACAGUGUCAGGCGGGCAGUUUGACUGGGGCGGUCGCCUCCUAAAAGGUAACGGAGGCGCUCAAAGGUUCCCUCAGAAUGGUUGGAAAUCAUUCAUAGAGUGUAAAGGCAUAAGGGAGCUUGACUGCGAGACCUACAAGUCGAGCAGGGUCGAAAGACGGACUUAGUGAUCCGGUGGUUCCGCAUGGAAGGGCCAUCGCUCAACGGAUAAAAGCUACCCCGGGGAUAACAGGCUUAUCUCCCCCAAGAGUUCACAUCGACGGGGAGGUUUGGCACCUCGAUGUCGGCUCAUCGCAUCCUGGGGCUGUAGUCGGUCCCAAGGGUUGGGCUGUUCGCCCAUUAAAGCGGUACGCGAGCUGGGUUCAGAACGUCGUGAGACAGUUCGGUCCCUAUCCGUCGUGGGCGUAGGAAAUUUGAGAGGAGCUGUCCUUAGUACGAGAGGACCGGGAUGGACAUACCUCUGGUGUACCAGUUGUCGUGCCAACGGCAUAGCUGGGUAGCUAUGUGUGGACGGGAUAAGUGCUGAAAGCAUCUAAGCAUGAAGCCCCCCUCAAGAUGAGAUUUCCCAACUUCGGUUAUAAGAUCCCUCAAAGAUGAUGAGGUUAAUAGGUUCGAGGUGGAAGCAUGGUGACAUGUGGAGCUGACGAAUACUAAUCGAUCGAAGACUUAAUCAA